Molecule: ribosomal RNA, 253 nt
Filed under: uncultured bacterium
Lineage: Bacteria
Description: partial 16S ribosomal RNA
Rfam family: Bacterial small subunit ribosomal RNA
Source: RNAcentral
UACGAAGGGGGCUAGCGUUGCUCGGAAUCACUGGGCGUAAAGGGUGCGUAGGCGGGUCUUUAAGUCAGGGGUGAAAUCCUGGAGCUCAACUCCAGGACUGCCUUUGAUACUGAGGAUCUUGAGUCCGGGAGAGGUGAGUGGAACUGCGAGUGUAGAGGUGAAAUUCGUAGAUAUUCGCAAGAACACCAGUGGCGAAGGCGGCUCACUGGCCCGGUACUGACGCUGAGGCACGAAAGCGUGGGGAGCAAACAGG